Molecule: non-coding RNA, 111 nt
Filed under: Plasmodium falciparum 3D7
Lineage: Eukaryota; Apicomplexa; Aconoidasida; Haemosporida; Plasmodiidae
Source: RNAcentral
UCUCUUAAUUCGUUUGAUUCGUUUGAUUCGCUUAAUUUGUUUGACUCGUUUGAUUCGCUUAAUUUGUUUGACUCGUUUGAUUCGCUUAAUUUGUUUGACUCGUUUGAUUCG